CAUCGCAUGUAAAAGAAAUGGACGGAGUAUUUUCGUCAGAAUCCAUUAACUGUGGAUGUACAACUAAUUUUAUACUUGUGCCUUCAGGAUAUAAACUUUCCAUCAUUGGACUGAUUACAUGUCCAAUGUUUGUACUGGGAUCAUUGAACGGAAAUUCACCUAAACUUCGAACAGAUUUGAUCAUGUCAUAGAAAGCUCUAAGAUCGCAAUCAUAAAGUGAUGGUCUAGUUUUUCUCAUUGUUACAUUUUCAUACAAGCGUGUUUGUCGUUU
This 271-nucleotide unclassified non-coding RNA is filed under the name Bombus terrestris (buff-tailed bumblebee). Its description in RNAcentral is "misc RNA ENSBTSG00005027373.1". Lineage: Eukaryota; Metazoa; Arthropoda; Insecta; Hymenoptera; Apidae. The record is from RNAcentral.